RNAcentral lists this unclassified non-coding RNA (382 nucleotides) under uncultured Verrucomicrobiae bacterium. RNAcentral describes it as "contains 16S-23S intergenic spacer region". Lineage: Bacteria; Pseudomonadati; Verrucomicrobiota; Verrucomicrobiia. The record is from RNAcentral.
UCCGAGUUGACCCCGGCAGUCUCCUAUGAGUCCCCGGCAUAACGCGCUGGCAACAUCGAACGAGGGUUGCGCUCGUUGCGGGACUUAACCCAACAUCUCACGACACGAGCUGACGACAGCCAUGCAGCACCUGUGUACGCUGGUAUUGCUACCUCGUCAGGCUUUCACCCUUCUACUACGUACAUGUCAAGGCCAGGUAAGGUUCUUCGCGUUGCAUCGAAUUGAGCCACAUACUCCACCGCUUGUGCAGGCCCCCGUCAAUUUCUUUGAGUUUUAAUCUUGCGACCGUACUCCCCAGGCGGCACAUUUAACGCGUUAGCUUCGCCACAAAAGGGGUCGAUUCCUCUUACAGCAAAUGCGCACCGUUUACAGCCAAGACUAC